Molecule: long non-coding RNA, 2614 nt
Organism: Anolis carolinensis (green anole)
Lineage: Eukaryota; Metazoa; Chordata; Lepidosauria; Squamata; Anolidae
Source: Ensembl
CUCUGUGGGUUGGUGCUCAUCUCCAUUUCUAAGCCGAAGAGCCGGCGUUGUCCAUAGACAUCUCCAGGUCAUGUGGCCGGCAUGACUGCAUGGAGCGCCGUUACCUUUAACACCAGGGGGCCCUAUAUGUAUACAAUAUAUUAUUAGCAUAGCACAAUAUAAGCAUUAGAUAUUACUAUAUUGCACUUUACCACUCUAUUGCAUAAUAUUACAUGUAUCAUUAUUGUAUUAUAUAUAUAUAUAUAGUGUGUGUGUGUGUGUAUAUAUAUAUAUAUAUAUAAGUAUCAGGCAUGGACAUACUUUUUGACACACAGCACCCUCAACAAACGACCAUCCAACCUUUGUAAUAAUAAUAAUAAUAAUAAUAAUAAUAAUAAUAAUAAUAAUAAUAAUUAAUAAUAGCAACACCAGAGGCCACCCAGUCCAACCCCCUUCUGCCAUGCAGGAAAAGCACAAUCAAGGCACCCCCUGAAUGGUGGGAGGGAAAUAGGGUUUUGGAAGCAAGGAAGGAUCAGGGAGGCAGGGGUAAAACAUUUUGGAGGUGAGGAAAAGGGCUUUUGGAGGUGAGGAAAAAUAAUUUAGGCAGCAAAGAAGCUGAAUGAAAAAGGCUCUUUGCUGCAAGAGUAUUAGGGAGGGGGAGAAUCAGGAAAGAGGAGGGAAAGCUUGGAGAGGGAGAGGGAGGGGAGGAGGAAGAGGGAGCCGGGGAGUCCCUCAGUAUGCUUCAAGGAGCCCCAAGAAGGACCAAGCCCAGGACAAACAACAAAAUUCACCAACUAACAAUGCAGUUGAAAACAUAACAACAUAUAGCAAUUCAACUAUGGCACAAUUAAAAACAAACUAUAAAAACAGCAUUAAAAUUAUAUCAAACCAAACUCAACCAGUAGUAACCAGGAAUAAGAUGGGCAUGAAUGGAACUGUGGGUAUUUAAUUCAUGGAUGAGAGGGUUGUAUUAGUUUCAGUCUGGCAGGGCUUCAGCUGGAGUUGCUGCAGAAUGUGUAAUUGGGUAAUAAGGAUUUAGCACUCUCGUGGUUAUGAAGCACACCAAGAACAAGCAAGUGGACAGAUACCUCGAGGUUUUGCUGCAACAACUUGUCUCCAGGCUGAAAUGGUAGGAGAAAGGAGGUCAUGUUCCACCAUUAAUUAAUGUUAGUCCCCAGCAGUUAAAAGAUCAUAAAUCUGUUUUAUAAUCUUUGUGACUACUGGACAGGAUGCCAACCAAUAUUGCUGCAUGGUCAAGUUUAAAAAUGCUGCAAUGCUUCAAAUUUGGGAACAGAAUAAAAAUCUCACUAGGACAGGGCAGAAUUCUUACUGGAAAACAAUGUUGCUAUUUUGAUUACUCUGUAACUACAACAUUGGUAAGGCCCCUUUCUGAUUAAGGCCAAAUGGGUGUCCUUAGGGAUCAUGGUCAGCUAAGAACAUCUGGACUGAAAGAUCACAUGCGAUAUUGCUAUGCGAUAUUGUAAGACUGUACUUUGCUUCCUGCCUUGCAUAACUGUCAGUGUAAUUAAAACCCAAUUGUAGUGCUCUAACAAUAAAUUGCUUGCAUAAUCCAAAGUGCUUGUGUAAUCUUGUUUAAUUUCUGCUGUUAACCUUUCCCUUUGAUACCAAAUGAGGCUGCUCAUUACCUUUGCUUUUAAGUGCUCAUUGCCACACAUAACAUAGUUUAAACUGGGGGAAAGUGCUAUGAAAAAUGUGAUAGUUAUACCUAUUUCCUGUAGAGGAAAUGUGAGCUCUGCAACUGCAUCUUAAUAAUCUGGAUUUUUCUUUCCUUUCUUGGAAUUUUGCAAUAAGAAGAAAUGUAAACAAGUAUGAUGACCAGUAAAUUAUUUACAAACAAAUCAAAACACAGUUUUAGUGGAAAUAUCAGAAAUCUGUUAUUUCCCCUUUCUUCAGGGUAAAAGUGCUUAAGAAUCCAUUUCCAGGAACCAUAGGCUCAUCAUGGCCUCUAGAGGACAUCUUAGGUCCAGACUAUCUGAAAGACUACAUCUCUCUGUAUGAAACUCCCAGAAAGUUAAAACCCACAGAGGAGAGUUUCUCUUGCUCCCAGCAGGUAGUGAAGAAAAAAGAAAACCUUUCUCUGCGGUUGCUCCCACAGUCUGGAAUUCCCUUCCACAGGAGGCUACAGUAACCUUCUCCAUGCUCUCCUUUCAUCAUACCAUUUUGUUUUAGAGCACUUUUCAUGUGUAAUUACUUGCAGGAAAAUUUGGAGGGGUGUUUUUUUGAAAAAAAAAUACUGUGUGUAUGUUUUUGUACUGUGUAUAUUUUCAUACUGUGUAUGAUUUUAUACUCUUAAUAUUUUAUUUGUUUAAUAUUUUUGUCAGAUUUCAAUUGAUUCUUUUUGGGAACUGCCUCAGGUUCAACUCUGGACAAAAUGCAGCAUAUUGAAUGAAUGAAUGUAUGAAAUUCUUUCCAAAUCGAGCAACAAAGUAGUCAAAACUACUUUGCAGCAGAGGGUGCCCCAUCACUUCUUUCAGUCACCAAUCAAGGCACUUUGUACCGAAACACACCCAAGUCACGUUGGCACUUCAGCUAGAAAGUUCCAUUGACACCUUUAUACAUCGCUGACAAUAAAAUACAACAGUAGAUUCAACUAUUGAUAAUUUUGUGCCCUUGU